UUUUUUAAUUGGAAACUGGAAUGAAUGGUUGGAACCAAUAGGAAUGUUUUAUUUUAUAAAUUUGAAUUUAAAUUAAAAAUAAAAAUGUUUUUAUAAACUCUUGGGACGAGAAGACCCUAGAAGCUUUAAAAUAAAAAAAAAUUUUUUUAAUUGGGGCAAUUUUUGAAGAGAUGUAUUUUUGAUAGUAGAGAAAGGAUUGAAAAAGUUACUCUAGGGAUAACAGCGUUAUUUAAUUGAUAAGUUCUUAUUAAUAAUUAAGUUUGCGACCUCGAUGUUGAAUUAAUAUUUAUUUUAGGUGAAGGAGCUUAAUAAGAGGGUCUGUUCGACUAUUAGUAUAUUACGUGAUCUGAGUUCAGACCGGA
This 362-nucleotide ribosomal RNA is filed under the name Mitogoniella unicornis. Its description in RNAcentral is "partial large subunit ribosomal RNA". The stretch from base 104 to 362 matches the Rfam family "Bacterial large subunit ribosomal RNA", at positions 2078 to 2620 of the family's 2925-position model. Lineage: Eukaryota; Metazoa; Arthropoda; Arachnida; Opiliones; Gonyleptidae. The record is from RNAcentral.